RNAcentral lists this ribosomal RNA (429 nucleotides) under Pseudomonadota bacterium. RNAcentral's name for it is "Proteobacteria bacterium partial 16S ribosomal RNA". It matches the Rfam family "Bacterial small subunit ribosomal RNA", at positions 355 to 776 of the family's 1533-position model. The record is from RNAcentral. Lineage: Bacteria; Pseudomonadati; Pseudomonadota.
UGGGGAAUAUUGGACAAUGGGCGAAAGCCUGAUCCAGCCAUGCCGCGUGUGUGAAGAAGGUCUUCGGAUUGUAAAGCACUUUAAGUUGGGAGGAAGGGCAGUAAGCGAAUACCUUGCUGUUUUGACGUUACCGACAGAAUAAGCACCGGCUAACUCUGUGCCAGCAGCCGCGGUAAUACAGAGGGUGCAAGCGUUAAUCGGAAUUACUGGGCGUAAAGCGCGCGUAGGUGGUUCGUUAAGUUGAAUGUGAAAGCCCCGGGCUCAACCUGGGAACUGCAUCCAAAACUGGCGGGCUAGAGUAGGGCAGAGGGUGGUGGAAUUUCCUGUGUAGCGAUGAAAUGCGUAGAUAUAGGAAGGAACACCAGUGGCGAAGGCGACCAACUGGGCUCAUACUGACACUGAGGUGCGAAAGCGUGGGGAGCAAACAGG